UAUAAUGGAAUAGAAUAUAAGCUUUAAUGAUAAUGGAAUAGAAUAUAAGCUGGAAUUACCCUUUGGAGCUCAGUUAGCUCAUCGCUCUAGUACGGUAAGUCAGUCAAUUGGUUAAAACCCAGUAAAUGACAUCUCUUUCCUCUCCUGCGCUUGGGAAUCUCUACCUUGCUUGGGAAGACAAUGGUUCUCUCUAUUUGCCCUUGGGAAGACAAGACGAUGCUUCUAUCUCCAUUUUCUAUCUGUAGUAACAAUGCCAGUUCAAGCUAUCUUCGUAGGUCCCAUUCAUUCUCGAUAAUAAGUGAGCAAUCCAUUUCCUAGAGUAGUUCAUUCUUACCAUAGAGUUCCUAGAGUAGUUCAUUCUUACCAUAGAGAGUAGUGAGCGUUCUUCCCGGCCUCUUUUUCUUUAUGAGCCGAAAUCACUGGUUUCAUGGGUCUUAUAGGUCAUCCUCUAAAAAGAAAGAAAUAUAGCUUGAUUUUCGGGAAAGAACUAUCGGGCUCUUCCUUCCCUUGUUUGCUUUGCGCUCUUCUGUUGUGCGUGCUUGUCUUUGAGGUUGCUUAUUGCUUCUGGAACUUUACUGAAGGAAUAUGCUGUGCGCUGCGGAAUGGAAUAUAAGUAACAUAUGCAUUAGUUAUGAAUAUUAAGUAACAGACUCCAUAAUUGAUGAAAUCAUCUCUCGAGCGCCCUUGGCAAUACGGAAUGGAAUCUAGCAGUCCUUAUUCCGUUACUAGUUCGAUGCGCCCUUUGCAAUAAGGAAUCUAAUCUAGCGGAGACUCAUAUAGAAUAGAGUAAACAAACACUAGAAUGAAAAUCACCUUCAUAAGAGAAACAUUAAUGAAAAUAGUAGUGCACAUAGAAUCAAAUAGAAUAAGAUUACUCAACACUUAAUGAACUCUACUUACUUGUUUUGUUUGAAUAUGAUUUAGUGCCCACAUAGAAUCAAAUAGAAUAAGAUUACUCAACACUUAAUGAACUCUACAACUCCGUAAGCGCUUGUUUCUUCAUAUUAUACCAUUCUGUAACAUCACUCCUAUGACUUAAUAACAUAUCGGCAUCCUCAUUCAUUGGUCCAGAAACUGCAUUCACCUGAAUAGCCAGACCAAGUAAGACUCUUGAUAAGCCAGAGCCCUAUACCCUACUUCCUUCUUUAGGCUCUGCACUCUAUCUCGGCACAUCUUUUAAAGUACCAUCGGCUCUUUUUUACUGUGUCAACAAGACCUUCCCAAAACUCUCUUUUUCCGGAGACUGAUCAAGAUUUCCACUAUCGAAUUUCUACUAGGUAGGCUUUUAUAGCAGUGAUGGUACUGGAUGGCUUUAGACACAGGGUUCGUUUUCUCACCGUCGUGGAAUAUCGAUGGUUUUCUUCGCUACGACAGGCUCCAGAGCUUAUCCAAAAGAAAGAUCACAGGGCCGCGCAUAUGUUAGAACAACGCCUGAGCGCAGAGUUGUAUGCCGAAAGAAGUCACACUUUUUGAUGGAGGGGGAAUGUAUGAAGUCUAUCUCCUCCGAUGCAGCAAGAUUCUUUGGACUUCGGCUAGCAAAGGAAAGGUGAAAUCCACUGAUUAGGAUAGACUAAGACACCCACCACUUACGUAACUAAGGGUACUGACUUAUGCGGUAGGAAAGCGGAAUGAAUCCCUGUACACUCAAUGCAUGCUGUGAAAGUAAGUCUAUUAAUUCUACCUAAUGAACUGAUUCAACCUCAUUCCCACAGAUUAUUUCGGACCGGGUUGAAGUGCUUUCCGAUGAAGAAGUUGUCUUGUAUAAGGUUGGUGAUGAACGGCCUUAGGGUCCCUACACUACUGGACUCGAAACUAAUCCUAUGCCUUGUGAAAACUCAUCCUAUGCCUUGUUAAUUAGUCUAUACUAUCUAUAAGCUAUAAGGUAAGCCAGAUCUAUAAGGUAAGCCAGUGGCAUGUCCCUGAGUGGUUAACUGAACUCCCUUUCUCUUUUCCUCUGUAUUUGAUUUCUGAGCUCUAGCUUCUGGCAUUCUUAUGUCUUAACGGAAUGGCUGCUCAACUUCUUACCUGUCCUCUUCAAUACAAGGCGAAAGGUGGAAAAGACCUAUUUAGGAAUGAGAUCUUUCUUUCCCCAAUACCAAAGUCAGGGCACUUCCUUCUUUGAGCAUUUAAGAUGGAGAUAAUCGCUCUUUUCUGUGAUUUGAUCUUGCCGUUAAGAAGGACGCUAAAGAAGAGUCAAACUAUCCCUCUUCGGGACCAGAAGGAAACCGCAGCUCGUUGCGCAUUAGCUUCAAACAUGGAAUCUCAGGCACGGCAUAAUUCUCCAUGACUGCGUCUAUACACUCACUGCUUAGCGUAAGUAGGGUAGCUUACUUUAUACUUUAGGUCCAUAAGAGAUUGAGAUUCAGUCCCAUACGUCUCUUAUGGUGCCCGAUCCGAUACAGCAAGUUCUAGUGAAAGAGCUCCUCCGUCCACGAGUAGAUCCUUUCUCCUAUGAAAUAAGCACAGUACAGCGAAAUAAGCACAGUACAACCACUAUUUUCGCCCGGGGACUCGACCGAUAUACUCUAAUCUUUGCUUCGCAACCUUAUUAUUUUGUAUAUAAUUUGAUCUUCCUUAUUAUUUUGUAUCUUUUGCUUCGCAACCUUAUUAUUUUGUAUAUCUUUGGGUGCUCAGUGUUCAAGAGGUUUCGGAUAAAAGACGAAGGUUGUCUCUCUCUUUGGAUUCGAAUCUUCAUUCUUUUCAUUUUCUGACGGAAGGGAUUUCCACUUAUACUGGAACGAGAAGAGAAAACACACUUUUGAGAACGAAACGACGACUUUGAAGAAUUGCCCACUGCCCCGCCACACCUAAGCUGUCUUUCCCGGCUUCUAACUCUUCCACGACUCACUCUAAAACCAACACUACUGCCCGGCAUUCCUUUAAUGGAGUUUUGGUCUCCUCCACCCUCCUACUGUCUGUGUCAUUACCUUUAAGUCUCCGAACUCUGCUUUUCACUCUUCAAUUGCUUGUUGCGAGUCCACCUCCCCUUGUAGAAAAUCCUUAUUGAACCUAUCAGC
Molecule: long non-coding RNA, 3017 nt
Filed under: Musa acuminata (dwarf banana)
Lineage: Eukaryota; Viridiplantae; Streptophyta; Magnoliopsida; Zingiberales; Musaceae
Description: long non-coding RNA (MACU_LNC008396)
Source: RNAcentral